Molecule: ribosomal RNA, 253 nt
Filed under: uncultured bacterium
Lineage: Bacteria
Description: partial 16S ribosomal RNA
Rfam family: Bacterial small subunit ribosomal RNA
Source: RNAcentral
UACAGGGGGGGCAAGCGUUGUUCGGAAUUACUGGGCGUAAAGGGCGCGUAGGCGGCCAACUAAGUCACACGUGAAAUCCCCAGGCUUAACCUGGGAACUGCGUGUGAUACUAGAUGGCUUGAAUUCGGGAGAGGGAUGCGGAAUUCCAGGUGUAGCGGUGAAAUGUGUAGAGAUCGGGAGGAACACCGGUGGCGAAGGCGGGUCUCUGGGCAUCUCCUGACGCUGAGGCGCGAAAGCGUGGGGAGCAAACGGG